RNAcentral lists this unclassified non-coding RNA (222 nucleotides) under uncultured fungus. RNAcentral's name for it is "sequence contains ITS1". Lineage: Eukaryota; Fungi. The record is from RNAcentral.
GUAAUUAUUAAGUUUUUCAGACGCCGAUUCAAUAUUAAAAAAAGGUUAUAGAAUUGUCCAGCCGGCAGGCAAGCCUGCCGAGGAAACGUGGGUACGCAAAAGACAAGGGUGGAGAAAAGAGGCCAGCUGUUCAUCAGCGGUUAAGCUAUACAGACUAACAGCCUCUUUAACAGUAGUAAACUACUGAGUGUAAUGAUCCUUCCGCAGGUUCACCUACGGAAA